UGGUUCUGCAGUUGGUCAUUAUGUGUGGAAGACGAGCAUUCAGGCUUUCUCUGCUUCUGCUGGUGUGGGGUGUGUGCACAUCCUUUGAAGAAAUUCAAGUGAAAACAUUGGAAACAGGUGAAGAUUUGGGCACUCUAGCCUGUCCAAACCAAACCAUUCAUGACGUGAUAUAUGUAAUAUGUAAGUUAGAUAGAGUGAUAAGUGGUGGGAAUGAGUGUCAAGUGUCUCUUCGGUUUGACCAAAAUGUUACCAACAGCACUUGUGACCCCAGAGUCACACUACAGACAGAGAGUGACAGAGUGUUUCUACACAUCACCAACAUACAACCAUCUGAUGAAGGGAACUACACCUGUGAGUGUGUAUAUAAUGGAGGAACACAUUUUUUGCAUCUCAAUAUUUCUGUCAAUGGAUCACAUGUCACAAACAACUUUUCUUUCAUACGUUCUUUCAAUUUCAUGAUAAUAACAGCCUUUGCAGGAUUUGUAGCUGUCGUGGUCCUUGUUGGAAUAAUCACGAGGAAAUGUCAUCUCAAGUAAGAUAUUCUUAUUAGCUUGUUAAA
This is a long non-coding RNA of Salvelinus sp. IW2-2015, 559 nucleotides long. RefSeq lists it as uncharacterized. Lineage: Eukaryota; Metazoa; Chordata; Actinopteri; Salmoniformes; Salmonidae. The record is from RefSeq and is a predicted model, not a curated record.